This 186-nucleotide ribosomal RNA is filed under the name uncultured bacterium. Its description in RNAcentral is "partial 16S ribosomal RNA". It matches the Rfam family "Bacterial small subunit ribosomal RNA", at positions 1315 to 1500 of the family's 1533-position model. The record is from RNAcentral.
ACUACAUGAAGCUGGAAUCGCUAGUAAUCGCGAAUCAGAAUGUCGCGGUGAAUACGUUCCCGGGUCUUGUACACACCGCCCGUCACACCAUGGGAGUUGGGAAUGCCCGAAGCCGGUGACCUAACCGAAAGGGAGGAGCCGUCGAAGGCAGGCUUGAUAACUGGGGUGAAGUCGUAACAAGGUAUC